This 468-nucleotide ribosomal RNA is filed under the name uncultured bacterium. RNAcentral's name for it is "bacterial SSU rRNA". It matches the Rfam family "Bacterial small subunit ribosomal RNA", at positions 30 to 490 of the family's 1533-position model. The record is from RNAcentral.
AUUGAACGCUGGCGGCAUGCUUUACACAUGCAAGUCGAACGGCAGCACAAACUUCGGUUUGGUGGCGAGUGGCGAACGGGUGAGUAAUGCAUCGGAACGUGUCCUGAAGUGGGGGAUAACGCAUCGAAAGAUGCGCUAAUACCGCAUAAUCUCUGAGGAGAAAAGUGGGGGAUCGAAAGACCUCAUGCUUUUGGAGCGGCCGAUGUCUGAUUAGCUAGUUGGUGGGGUAAUGGCCUACCAAGGCGACGAUCAGUAGUUGGUCUGAGAGGAUGGCCAGCCACACUGGGACUGAGACACGGCCCAGACUCCUACGGGAGGCAGCAGUGGGGAAUUUUGGACAAUGGGCGCAAGCCUGAUCCAGCAAUGCCGCGUGAGUGAAGAAGGCCUGGUUGUAAGAUCUUCUAGUUGUAGAGAAAAAUUAGUAGUACUAAUAAUACGUAAUUACUAUAGUACAGUAUACAACAGAAG